UCAUGACCUAUGACCCAUGGGUUAUGUAACCUCCAUGGAGCAUCCAUGGAGCAUCCUAUGGGUUUAACCCAACUUGAUUAUCCAUGGAGCUUUGGCCCACUAUAUAAAUUAUGGAUGAUUUGCACAAUCAACCCAUAUAUUGAAUUAGUCUUCUUUUGAGCACAUAAUUAAUUCUCAAUUAAUUCUUGAGCAAUACUAAUUAAAUAUUAUUAUUCUUAUUAUUAAUAUACUAGAACUUAUAAUAUAUUAAUAACCAUAACUGUCUUAUUUCUCUCAUUUAGUCUAUCCAAGUGCAUGAUGCCAUGCAACCCAAAUGGACUAUGCCGGGUCGGGUCAAGUCUUACCAAUUAUAGUUAUGGACUUAGACAUUAAUCCAACAGUCUCCCACUUGGAUAAGUCUAAAACUAUUAUUGCGUAUGACUUCAGGAACCAACUGGCAAUCGUAGCUCUCAAAAGCUUCUGUCGAACUCUGACCUUGUAGAUGAACUCUGACCUUUGUCAAUGACUUGUCCAUUAGAUAAGGGAUCAUAUAUUCCUCCAUUCUAGAUAUCAUAUGGACUGAGACAUGGAUUAUAAUCAUUCUCUCUGUCCAUUUGUUGUUUCCCGAUUUCCGAUUUAUGACGACUGACUAAUUGAACAAAUCAAAUCAGUCCUGGCCCGGCCGAGCACUUCCAUUUGUCAUCAUCAAAUCAUCGAGGGGCCCACAGAUAUCGCUUUUAUCCCGAAGGUAAAAGGAAUGGAUAAACUUCGACUCAUAUGGCUUGUUCUACUACUUGUUGAAUCAUACACAAAGGCACGUUUUAUAGCACCGAGUUACCAAAUGCGUUUUCGUGCAAUCAAUGUACUAUCAACUCAUAGUAACAACUCAUAUCUCUAGGUUUGAAGAAUAUAAGAUAUUAUCGUCUCAUGAUCACUCAUGAUAAAAUCCAUGAAGUGAUUCCAAUGAGAGCGGGUUGAAUCCAAUACUCAGAACUUAUGAGCACUCAUGAGUGUUGUAGCCCUUUGUCCAACAUCUUAGACCUCUACAAGCCAACCCAUGACAGUCUUAACUCAUAUUUACUUCCAACAUUUGACCGACUGUGGAUGGUUUUAAUAACUUAGUCAUCUAGAACAAUGACCUAGUUAUUUAGGAAGUUAAAACAUGCAAAGUUAAUAAUUGAAUCCAAUAUGGUAUUAAAACCUAUGAACAUAAAUAAAACAACUUUUAUUUAUCACCAUAUGAUUACACAUUAUUCAUUGUAUACUGUUUCAGCUAUCAACUUUAUUCUUGAAUUUAAAACAAUAGUUGUCCCAUGCUUCAAGCAUGUACACUAUGUUUUCUAAACACUAGUCAUGCCAUACACCAAGUAUGCAUAUUAUGUUUGUCUAUGAUCUUUACUUUGUGAAAUAGAUCAAUUGAACAUAACUCUAGUGAUCCUCUUUUCACAGUCCCAAAUCCUUACUGCAAAUGCAAGAAUUCCAAAUUCAUGCCAUUUACAGAAAUCUGUUAGAUUCUAAACUUAUAUGCAUUGAUCCUCUUGUAAAGAUUUUUCACAAAGUUAGAAAUACUUGACAACAACCAUUACAGAGCAUUCCAAAGGAGAUCAACUCCUUGGAAACAUCCUUCUUGCAUUAAGUUUCCUAAUCUAACUUUGAAACAUUUCCAAAUUCCAUUUUGACUAUCACUUCCGAAUAAGAGUUGCCUCCUUAUAGAUUAUGCCAAUAUUGUCCUUCCUGAAUUACCAAUAUACUUCCAAUUGUCCUUGAGCAACCAAUCUUUGGUAAACCAUAGAUUGUCCUCGACAAUUGUUUAUUCCUUUUAGUCAUAUCCAGUUCUAAACCGUUUCCCUUCUUAAUGCCCCAGGCAUUUGGAAAAUUUUAGAAAGGAUGAAUAUAGCACAUGUAAUCGAUCCUAUAUCCGAAGCAUAUGGGACACGAUUCAUGAUGUCUCACAUAAAGACUAAACCAGUCUUUUGCUAUAAUAUAUUUCCAUUUCAAUUUGCCAAGUUCUCAUAAUUAAGAUUAUGAAAAAAGGGAUGCCAUAAUCAUAAUUGAAUUUUAGAAUGUAAAUAAUGGACCCAUAUACAGAAUUUCCUUAUGUUGAGCCAUUCCAACAUGAAAUUCAUAUAUAUAUAUAUAUAUAUAUAUANNNNNNNNNNNNNNNNNNNNNNNNNNNNNNNNNNNNNNNNNNNNNNNNNNNNNNNNNNNNNNNNNNNNNNNNNNNNNNNNNNNNNNNNNNNNNNNNNNNNNNNNNNNNNNNNNNNNNNNNNNNNNNNNNNNNNNNNNNNNNNNNNNNNNNNNNNNNNNNNNNNNNNNNNNNNNNNNNNNNNNNNNNNNNNNAGUCUUUUGCUAUAACAUUUCCAUUUCUAUUUGCCAAGUUCUCAUAAUUCAGAUUAUGAAAAGGGAUGCCGUAAUCAUAAUCGAAUUUUAGAACGCAAAUAAUGGACCCAUAUACAGAAUUUCCUUAUGUUGAGCCAUUCCAACAUGAAAUUCAUAUAUAUAUCCUUGACUAAAUGAUUAAAGCCUCAUGAUCUAAGCUUAUAGAUUUGAGAUGAAGUAUAGUUUCCUCUCCCUUAAUUAUACCAAAACAACUCUUUUCCAAUUAGAACCUUUUGUUUUCAAUAAUUAACAUUGCUAACUUGCAACCUUUAUCAUAAUUAUCAUGCUCCCACUAACAUGAUGAUUAUUAGCAUAACACGUAUGCUACCACUAGCUUUGACAUGUACUCAGAAAUCAGCUGGACUUCUAGAAAUCAAUACUUUAUUGACUUUCUUACCAAAGUUCAGAUUUCUGAUACUAGAUUGCCUCGAUAAGACUUUAUCAAAAUCAUACACCUUUCUUAGGUAGCUCACAAGUGUGUCUAAACAAUUUCAGAACUAUGAAAAGGGAUGCUGUAAUCAUAGUCUCAAUUGUUUAGACUUGUUUCCAUUUCUCAUAAGUCAAUGUUAGUGUGCCGAUUAACCACGCACACUCCACUAACGACUUUGAGAACUGAAAAUAUCACAAUUGCUAUCUACUUAAAAUCUACUUAGUGAAAUAAUUUCCUCACCAUCAUUUUCAUGAAUCAGAGAGAAACCUUAUGACACUAGAUUUUAUGGUGUAUGUGUUCUUAUCCAUGUGAAUUUGUCAAAACCAUAAUCACAAGACUAAGUUAGUGACAAAUCCUAACUCAUAUGGAUUGAACUUGUGCAAUCUUAACUUCUUGCCACCUGGCAGCUCAAGGGCCUGCCAUUGAUUCCAAGCAGCUAUACAAACAAUUGAGAACUCUAAGAACUCAUAUGCAAAGCCAACGUUAACUGGAAUGGGUACAAAAUAUGUCAACACGAUAGGUUAUAAACCUCAAGUUGUGUGCUAGUGAAGCACUUAUAACUUCAGGUUUUAUUCUUAAUUAGUUCUUGAGACUUUCAAGACCUUUAAGACUCCCACUAUCCUCUUGACUUAUAAGACUCCCUUGUCAAACAUCCAAGAGAUAGUGCGGAUUCUAAUCAAGACAAAAACUUCACACAAUUGGCCUUGGUUGGUCUUUGUUUUAUCCAAAACAUCACAAGUUACCAAUUUCAAAUGUACAAGAGUAGAAAACUUUUACUCUUACAUUUGACAAGUGUGUUAUACCUUCUUUAAGACAUGUCACUAAAGUUACAAUCUUAGAGUAUAACUCUAUGAAUUGUUUUGGAAUGAAGUAUGAAUCAUCUUCUUGAUUUAACCACUUCAACAAUUCAUAACUCCUCUUCUUAACUAUCAAAAUGUACUUAGAGGAUGAAUUGUGAGAAGGUCUCAAAAUCAUUAAGAUGACCUUAAAACAUGAUACUAAAGUACUCUCCCAUCUUUUCAGAUUUGAGAAACUUUUAUCCUUCUGCCUAAUUUGAUUCUUCUUAUUCGUUCUGUCAUACAUUGAAAAUUUUCCAAUGUUUCAGAAUUAUACUUAAGCUUGUAAGUAUAAUCAUAUUUACUAAACCUUAGUAAAUCAUGACGAAUAGUCUUAUCCAUCUUUUGUGGUGGACUUUGACAAGUGCACAAGAAAGUGUACUUGAUCCCUUAGUCCUUCUCUUGACUCACACAUCCAUGUGAACAAGUAGUUAGUCUUAAUUUUUCCAAUGCUCGAAAGUUCUCAUUCAUCAUACUAUACAACUUGCAUGAUUCCAAGUUUCGGUCCAAUUGAAACUUGGGUGAUGAGAAUCUUUCCUUAUUUGGUAAAUUUAGACACUACCACAAAUGAAAGAAUCAAAUUCAUAUUUCCAAUAUUGCUAUAAACAUACAAACAUCAAGUUUUCAUGAAUGCCAUUGUAAGGAGAUAAAAAUAAAGUAAAACAAACUUUUAUUUAUUUUAAAAUGCGGAAAAAACUUUUUCCUUACAAUGUAACUUGAAAUGAAAACUAUGUUAUUACUUGUUUCCUAGCAAUCUAUCAUAACUCCUAAGAGUAGCUCAAGAAUCCAAUCUUCAAUCAAGCGAUAGAAAUCCAUCUUCGCGAUCAGAUUCAACAUACUCUUUCUUUAAGUUUCCUUCACUUUUCCUUUGAUUCUUAAACAUCAACAUGUGACCCAGUCACAUCUUGUAAUAAGAAUCUCAGAAUAGAAACUUAACCGAGUUAGAUAGUGGACCUUACCUGAAAUAGAGUCAAACUUAUUGACUUUACUAGCCUUAUGAUCUUUCAGGUAAAAUUGACAGCUUCGCAACCAAUGCCCUUUCCUUUUGGCAAUAGGACCAUAUGGACCCUUAGGUAAUAGUACAUGGGACUAUCUCAGACUUAGCCUUUCUCUUUACCAUUUGGUCAACCGAGUUGACUAUGGCCGAUCCCUUUCCAUUGGGAAGAGAAUGCUUUUCUGGAUUUCCUGUGUCACUAUUGUCCCUGUCCAUAAAGUUUUGGGAAGUUGAUCUCCUAAUCAAAUUUGCUUUACUAGUACACUAAAUCAUUUCUGAUUUAGCAGCACCAAGCAAAUAGAUAAGAUCAUUAAGGGUCUUGUCAUAGUCUGUUUCAUAGGAGUCCCAAGGAACUCACUAUGUGACUUAGAAAGUGAUUGAACCACUAACUUUCUUAAGACUUUGACACCCAACUCUCCCGGCUUGUCAGUAUGUGACUUCAUCUCCAAGAUGUGAUCACACCUAGACCUUGCCUUGCCAAUAGGGCUUGAGUGACCUUGAACUUGUGGGUUAGGGAGAAUAAUUGGAGGAGGUGGAGGAAGUGAAGUUCCAAGAUAUUUGGGAAGAUCAUAGAUGUCUGAACUAGACAUCUUUUGGGAGAUAUUCAAGAUAGUUGAUUUAAAGUCCUUAAUAUAACACCCAAUAUGAAAUAUUAAGGCUAGGACCCAACAAACUAUUUUAUAACUUGGAAGAGGGAUGCCGUAAUCCAAGCUAUAGAAUAUUUGAAGGUAGGUGAAUGACGAUUCACCAAUUUCCACCAUGAAAAACGAAAUAAUUUAUUAGGUUUUAAUUGGAUUUGAAACUCCUAGAUCUUUUGAGAUUCAUUGAACUUUUCAAUGGCAUGUUUCAAUCUCGAGUGUGCCCUUCAGGUUUUGUGACUGGGAUGCCGAGGAUCACAAAACAAGGUGUGAAGUAACCAUGCAAAUUACUUGGUACCCUUAAGUGUUUACCCCUCAAUCGAUGUGCCGGUUAACCACACACGCUCCAUCGAUACUAUGAUAAACAUUAAGUUACCCUUUGCCUACCUUGUUAAAUACGAGUUAGUGUGCCGGUUAACCACACACGCUCCACUAACCGACUUAAACAAAGUGCAAAGUGUAAUUUCAUGGAUUAGCACCUUAUUCACAUUUUCCUAAGUAACUAAGAUUGGGUAUUAUUAAGAGUUUAGUUACUUAGUAUUUAUCAUUAAUACUUUUAAUGAAGGGAGAAUUCUAGUCCUGUCAAACCCGUUCGGCUAACGACCCUCCACCAGUCAAGCAAGCGGUGGGUGAGAGUGGACACCCAUUAAGUUGCCAUUUUAUAGGCAACAACCUUAUACCCACCUUAUAGACCGGCUUCGUGAAUGAGGCGUACUAGCGGUAAGACUGACUUUACUCUUAUACAUAUAUAUAUUAUUAACUUAUAAUAUUAUAAAGUAUAAGGGUUGAAUUUUAUUUUAAAAUUCUAAGGGCUAACUUGGAAUUAAAGUAUUCAUAAGUGAAAACUUUUUUCAAAUUCCAAAACUUGAGGGCAAGUUUUGAUACUAUUUAAAACUAAUUAAUUCCAUAACCUAUGUGUUUAAAGUAGUUUUAUUCCAAAACUCUUCAAGUUCCAUAACUUGAGGACAAGUUAUGAAAGACAUUAAACUAUUAAAAGAAUUAACUUUUCUUUAUUUUAUAACUUAUGGAAUUAAUUAAGGUUACACAUUUUAUUAUUUUAUUUUAUUUUAUUAAAUGAAGAGACUCUUGGUCCUCCAUAACUUGAGGACAAGUUAUGGANUUAUGAGUUUUAUGAAACUUAAAUGUGACUUUUCAUAUAACUUGAGGACAAGUUACAAAAACACAUUUUAGAAUCAACUCUUAGAUUAAUUUGGAUUGAAAACAACUAUUUCACUCAACUUUCUAUUAAUCUAAGCAACUCAUAAGAACAAGAUAAUUCAAAUCAAACUUUUUCAUGUAAUUAGUCUAAACCUUAAACUAAUACAAAACAUGAAUCUAUUGACAAUUAUCUUUGAAAUUGGAUUUGCAUGAACAUUACCACAUCAAAACAAGUUUAUAAGUCCAAAAACAUCUUAGGGUAAUGUUCCUAGUCCAAUUCCAGCCAAAAAAGUCAAAUAUAUGCUGUCUGGGGAUCCAACUCGUCGAGUGCACGAACAAACUUGGCGAGUUGGAUGAAUUUUGCCUUGGACUCGGCGAGUCCAUCAGUGGACUCAGCGAGUCUGCUGUGCAGACAGCAUAAAAACUCGAUUUUUCAGCCAAUUUUGCAAGUAUAAGAAGAAAAAAAGCCUAGUCUCUGAUACCACUGUUGGGUUUUGAGCAUUCUAACACUCCUAAGUGUACAUGCAACCCUAAAUACCUUGGAUCUAUGUUUUCUCUAUUAUGCAUGCACAUAUGAACUUUCCAAGGUAUUAUCCUAAUCUGGCAUACAAAACAAUGAAUAUAACAAGAUAGAAUACAUACCUCUUUGAUGUAGAAAUCCUCAUGAAGCUUGAGUGCCUAGUGCCCCAUGUGUGACACCUCAAAUGGUUCACACAACAUCAAUUGCUUUUGGAAUAACCUUGAGAGAAAUGUAGAACACUUGAAAUCGGCGAGCCCUUCUCUAGAAUAAUACUAGUAGUCGAUUUUGGUGAAUAAUAUGAUGCUUAUAUAGUGUGUUACAAUAAGGGUUACACCGUGUAAACCCUAAUUGUCAUGACCUUUCAUUACCAUGACCCAUGGGUUAUGUAACCUCCAUGGAGCAUCCUAUGGGUUUAACCCAACUUGAUUAUCCAUGGAGCUUUGGCCCACUAUAUAAGUUAUCGAUGAUUUGCACAAUCAACCCAUAUAUUUAAUUAGUCUUCUUUUGAUCACAUAAUUAAUUCUAAAUUAAUUCUUGAUCAAUACUAAUUAAAUAUUAUUAUUCUUAUUAUUAAUAUACUAGAACUUAUAAUAUAUUAAUAACCAUAAGUGUCUUAUUUCUCUCAUUUAGUCUAUCCAAGUGCAUGAUGCCAUGCAACCCAAAUGGACCAUGCCGGGUCGGGUCAAGUCUUACCAAUUAUAGUUAUGGACUUAGACAUUAAUCCAACAGUCUCCCACUUGGAUAAGUCUAAAACUAUUAUUGCGUAUGACUUCAGGAACCAACUGGCAAUCGUAGCUCUCAAAAGCUUCUGUCGAACUCUGACCUUGUAGAUGAACUCUGACCUUUGUCAAUGACUUGUCCAUUAGAUAAGGGAUCAUAUAUUCCUCCAUUCUAGAUAUCAUAUGGACUGAGACAUGGAUUAUAAUCAUUCUCUCUGUCCAUUUGUUGUUUCCUGAUUUCCGAUUUAUGACGACUGACUAAUUGAACAAAUCAAAUCAGUCCUGGCCCGGCCGAGCACUUCCAUUUGUCAUCAUCAAAUCAUCGAGGGGCCCACAGAUAUCGCUUUUAUCCCGAAGGUAAAAGGAAUGGAUAAACUUCGACUCAUAUGGCUUGUUAUACUACUUGUUGAAUCAUACACAAAGACACGUUUUAUAACACCGAGUUACCGAAUGCGUUUUC
RNAcentral lists this long non-coding RNA (8113 nucleotides) under Lactuca sativa (garden lettuce). RNAcentral's name for it is "long non-coding RNA (LSAT_LNC000900)". Lineage: Eukaryota; Viridiplantae; Streptophyta; Magnoliopsida; Asterales; Asteraceae. The record is from RNAcentral.